AUUGAACGCUGGCGGCAGGCCUAACACCUGCAAGUCGAGCGAGCGGCGGACGGGUGAGUAAUGUGUGGGAAACUGCCCGAUGGAGGGGGAUAACUACUGGAACCGGUAGCUAAUACCGCAUACCAUCAGAUGAGCCCAAAUGUGAAUAGCUAGUAGGUGGGUUAAUGGCUCACCGAGGCGACGAUCCCUAGCUGGUCUGAGAGGAUGACCAGCAAAACGGUAACUGAGACACGGUCCAGACUCCUACGGGAGGAAGCAGGGGGGAAGAUUGCACAAUGGGCGCAAGCCUGAUGCAGCCAUGCCGCGUGUAUGAAGAAGUCCUUCGGGUUGUAAAGUACUUUCAGCGAGGAGGCGUUACUCGCAGAAGAAGCACCGGCUAACUCCGUGCCAGCAGCCGCGGUAAUAC
Molecule: ribosomal RNA, 406 nt
Filed under: uncultured bacterium
Lineage: Bacteria
Description: partial 16S ribosomal RNA
Rfam family: Bacterial small subunit ribosomal RNA
Source: RNAcentral